UACGUAGGGUGCGAGCGUUAAUCGGAAUUACUGGGUUUAAAGGGUGCGUAGGCGGGUUGGUAAGUCCGUGGUGAAAUCCCCAAGCUUAACUUGGGAACUGCCGUGGAUACUAUCAAUCUUGAAUAUCGUGGAGGUAAGCGGAAUAUGUCAUGUAGCGGUGAAAUGCUUAGAUAUGACAUAGAACACCAAUUGCGUAGGCAGCUUACUACACGAUCAUUGACGCUGAGGCACGAAAGCGUGGGGAUCAAACAGG
Molecule: ribosomal RNA, 253 nt
Filed under: uncultured bacterium
Lineage: Bacteria
Description: partial 16S ribosomal RNA
Rfam family: Bacterial small subunit ribosomal RNA
Source: RNAcentral